GGCGACGAGGAUGGGAUUAUAUAAAAAACCUUUACAAGAAACUCUAUCAGUUGAAACAAAUAAAACGGAAGAAGUUUCCAGGAAAGCCAGGAAUUCACCAAAAGUAAAAAUACUUUCUGAUAAUCUGGAUCCCAUUCUUCAUUUACCCAUGUACCAAGAUAUUUGUGCAUUGAAACUCUUUCGAGUGUUGUACAUGUGAGAGUUCUUAUUGAGGUUUGUUGCGGUUUUCUUGAUACUGUACAUAAACUUAGUCUUUGAGAGAUUCAUGCUUAGACCCGACUUUCUGCUACAUUUAUAAACGCUAUCUAUUAUUUUCUAAAGAUCUUGGGAA
Maniola jurtina (meadow brown) is the source of this 331-nucleotide long non-coding RNA. RefSeq lists it as uncharacterized. The transcript has 2 exons. The record is from RefSeq and is a predicted model, not a curated record. Lineage: Eukaryota; Metazoa; Arthropoda; Insecta; Lepidoptera; Nymphalidae.